UGAGGCCAGUGAUGGGAGGUGACAUGAGUGUACAGUCUAUGGCCCGCACCAUUUGGUAAUUGGAGGGAAAGAAGGUGCGUACUCUAUGGCCCUUGCCCAAGUAGUGACAGGAGGUGACGGACGUGAAAAUGUAAUGGUCCUCACUGGGUCGACUUCUAGAUGCACUUGGCCAUUGCAUCCCAGGAUUGUGACAAUUGCCUUUGUUAUUUCCGUGAUAAAACCUAUCCAUAGUUUUGUUCUGCUGCAGUAUCAUUGUUGGUCGUAUCAACAUUUGGACUCCUUGUCAUCUUGUAUGUUUACUAUCUUAAGCCAAAGUUCUGACAGUGUCCAACAAGUUGACGGAAAGCCGUGUAAUUUUCACAUUGAUAGAUGACGGAAGCUUAAGAAGCACUUAGUUCCAGCUCUCACUGUGCUAUAAAAGUUGUAUGUAUUUUUGGUGUCACAAAGAAAGCAACCUCCAGCUGACCUUAAGGACCAUGA
This is a long non-coding RNA of Magallana angulata, 480 nucleotides long. RefSeq lists it as uncharacterized. The record is from RefSeq and is a predicted model, not a curated record. The transcript is spliced from 3 exons. Lineage: Eukaryota; Metazoa; Mollusca; Bivalvia; Ostreida; Ostreidae.